GGGGAUGUAGUUCAGUGGUAGAGCACUUGACUGACAUCCACAAGUCCUUGGGUCCCAUCCCCA
This 63-nucleotide transfer RNA is filed under the name Heterocephalus glaber (naked mole-rat). It matches the Rfam family "tRNA". From Rfam's summary of the family: Transfer RNA (tRNA) molecules are approximately 80 nucleotides in length. Their secondary structure includes four short double-helical elements and three loops (D, anti-codon, and T loops). Lineage: Eukaryota; Metazoa; Chordata; Mammalia; Rodentia; Bathyergidae. The record is from Rfam by way of RNAcentral.